AUCCAGAUGACGAGUCCUAAAUAGGACGUAACGCGCGUGCUGGAU
RNAcentral lists this non-coding RNA (45 nucleotides) under Schistosoma mansoni. Lineage: Eukaryota; Metazoa; Platyhelminthes; Trematoda; Strigeidida; Schistosomatidae. The record is from RNAcentral.